UUGCGGCUGGAUCACCUCCUUUCUAAGAGUUAAGUUUGAAUCGCGCUGACUCUUUCCGAGAUUCGAGUCUGGCUUCUGUACGUUUUCUGCCUCAAAUCUUUCUUCCCAAGGAACGCCAUCGGGCCUGUAGCUCAGGUGGUUAGAGCGCACGCCUGAUAAGCGUGAGGUCGGUAGUUCAACUCUACCCAGGCCCACAUUGCAGUAAGAGAAGGGCUUUCGGUAGAGGGGAUGUAGCUCAGUUGGGAGAGCGCCGCACUUGCACUGCGGAGGCCGUCGGUUCGAACCCGAUCAUCUCCAUACGAAGUUUGCUUCGUAGUUGAGAAUUGAGCAUUGAACAUUGAGAACUCGUCGAUGUUCAAUAUUCAGUUCUCAAUUGUCA
This 379-nucleotide transfer RNA is filed under the name uncultured Pseudomonadota bacterium. RNAcentral's name for it is "uncultured proteobacterium partial 16S-23S ribosomal RNA intergenic spacer". The stretch from base 121 to 194 matches the Rfam family "tRNA". Lineage: Bacteria; Pseudomonadati; Pseudomonadota. The record is from RNAcentral.